UCUUAGUGGCGGACGGGUGAGUAACGCGUGGGUAACCUGCCCAUUAAGCCGGGACAACCCUUGGAAACGAGGGCUAAUACCGGAUGAGCUUAAGGGUUGGCAUCAACUUUUAAGGAAAGAUGGCCUCUGAACAUGCUAUCGAUAAUGGAUGGACCCGCGUCUGAUUAGCUAGUUGGUGGGGUAAAGGCCUACCAAGGCGACGAUCAGUAGCCGGCCUGAGAGGGUGAACGGCCACACUGGGACUGAGACACGGCCCAGACUCCUACGGGAGGCAGCAGUGGGGAAUCUUCCGCAAUGGACGAAAGUCUGACGGAGCAACGCCGCGUGUAUGAUGAAGGUCUUCGGAUUGUAAAGUACUGUCUUUAGGGAAGAACGGUCUUUUUGAGAAUAUUGAGGAGACAUGACGGUACCUAAGGAGGAAGCCCCGGCUAACUACGUGCCAGCAGCCGCGGUAAUACGUAGGGGGCAAGCGUUGUCCGGAAUUAUUGGGCGUAAAGGGCGCGUAGGCGGGUACUUAAGUCCGGUGUG
Molecule: ribosomal RNA, 528 nt
Filed under: uncultured bacterium
Lineage: Bacteria
Description: bacterial SSU rRNA
Rfam family: Bacterial small subunit ribosomal RNA
Source: RNAcentral